CGGGAGAUGGCUGAGUGGUCGAUAGCGGCGGUCUUGAAAACCGUUGAGGGUCAUACCUCCGGGGGUUCGAAUCCCUCUCUCCCGGCCA
Molecule: transfer RNA, 88 nt
Filed under: Helicobacter sp.
Lineage: Bacteria; Pseudomonadati; Campylobacterota; Epsilonproteobacteria; Campylobacterales; Helicobacteraceae
Also listed under: 3 other names
Description: tRNA-Ser
Rfam family: tRNA
About the family: Transfer RNA (tRNA) molecules are approximately 80 nucleotides in length. Their secondary structure includes four short double-helical elements and three loops (D, anti-codon, and T loops).
Source: RNAcentral